RNAcentral lists this ribosomal RNA (253 nucleotides) under uncultured bacterium. RNAcentral describes it as "partial 16S ribosomal RNA". It matches the Rfam family "Bacterial small subunit ribosomal RNA", at positions 524 to 776 of the family's 1533-position model. The record is from RNAcentral.
UACAGAGGUCCCGAGCGUUGUUCGGAUUCACUGGGCGUAAAGGGUGCGUAGGCGGUGAGGUAAGUCGGAUGUGAAAUCUCCGGGCUCAACCCGGAAAUGGCAUUGGAAACUACCUUGCUGGAGGAUUUGAGGGGGGAUUGGAAUACUUGGUGUAGCAGUGAAAUGCGUAGAUAUCAAGUGGAACACCAGUGGCGAAGGCGAAUCCCUGGAAAAUACCUGACACUGAGGCACGAAAGCUAGGGGAGCAAACAGG